This 480-nucleotide ribosomal RNA is filed under the name uncultured bacterium. Its description in RNAcentral is "bacterial SSU rRNA". It matches the Rfam family "Bacterial small subunit ribosomal RNA", at positions 30 to 502 of the family's 1533-position model. The record is from RNAcentral.
AUUGAACGCUGGCGGCGUGCUUAACACAUGCAAGUCGUGCGGUAACAGGCGUAGCAAUACGUGCUGACGAGCGGCGAACGGGUGCGUAAUACAUGGGAAUCUGCCCUUUAGUGGGGAAUAACCCGGCGAAAGCCGGGCUAAUGCCGCAUAAGAUCUUCGGAUGAAAGCGGGGGAUCGUAAGACCUCGCGCUGAUGGAUGAGCCCAUGUCGGAUUAGCAGUUGGUGAGGUAACGGCUCACCAAGGCGACGAUCCGUAGCUGGUCUGAGAGGACGGCCAGCCACACUGGGACUGAGACACGGCCCAGACUCCUACGGGAGGCAGCAGUGGGGAAUAUUGGACAAUGGGCGAAAGCCUGAUCCAGCGACGCCGCGUGUGUGAAGAAGGCCUGCGGGUUGUAAAGCACUUCCGAUGGGAACGAAAUGUGCCGGGCUAAUAUCCCGGCAAGCUGACGUUACUCAAUGAAGAAGCACCGGCUAACU